Long non-coding RNA from Cyprinus carpio carpio, 844 nucleotides. The record is from Ensembl. NCBI's taxonomy places the organism in Eukaryota, Metazoa, Chordata, Actinopteri, Cypriniformes, Cyprinidae.
UUAAACGAAACCUCAAGAUCUUCGCAAUUUAACAUCGCAAAGGCCUUUAGAUUACACUGACAAAGUUUGGUGUUGAUCUGAAUAAAUCUCUAGGAGGAGUUCGUUAAAGUACAACCCCUGAAAAUGGCAAAAACGACACAAACUUUGCAGAGAAAAUUCAAAAUAACUGACUUCCUGUUGGGAUUCGAAUUUCGUACCAAGAGACUUUUUUGUAGGUAUUGGUGUGUUACAUGUGUGUACCGAUUUUUGUACAUGUACGUGAAACGUAGCUCGAGGCGCACUCCGUUGAAAAUGUAUAGGUGGCGCUAUCGAGGCAUUUUGCCACACCCAAUGGAAUAUUGGCCUUAAGAUGUGUUCAGGCCAGGACUCUUAUCGAACAUGUGAAGUUUGGGCAAGAUCGGACAUUUUAUGCCUGAGUUACAAUAACUUUUAUUCCCAUGGCGAGACAUCGAACUUUGUGACGGCGCCAUGGACACGCCCUUUAACGAAAACUCAAGAUCUUCAUAAUUUAACAACGCACAGGCCUUUAGAAUAGAGUGACUGAAAAAAACAAAUUUAUGUCAUAAAAUUUCUCGGGGUAGUUUGUUACAGUGUAAAAUAUGUCACUUCCUGUUGCCAGUAGGUGGCGCUAUGACUAUAACUGAAUAUGGGCAUAUCAAUCUGUUCAGGUCAGGAGUCUUAUCAAACAUGUGAAGUUUGGGGCAGAUUGGACAUUGUAUGUCUGAGUUAUAGCAACUUCAUUUUUCAUGGCGAAUCAUCGAAAUUCGUCAGGCCGCCACGGACACGCCCUUCAACGAAAACUCAAGAUCUUCGCAAUUUAACAUCGCAAAGGCCUUUAGAUUAG